RNAcentral lists this ribosomal RNA (497 nucleotides) under Bacillus sp. AFS051223. RNAcentral's name for it is "partial 23S ribosomal RNA". It matches the Rfam family "Bacterial large subunit ribosomal RNA", at positions 1293 to 1932 of the family's 2925-position model. Lineage: Bacteria; Bacillati; Bacillota; Bacilli; Caryophanales; Bacillaceae. The record is from RNAcentral.
AAUGGCGGUAUGAGUAGCGCAAGAUAAGUGAGAAUCUUAUCCACCGUAAGACUAAGGUUUCCAGGGGAAGGCUCGUCCGCCCUGGGUUAGUCGGGACCUAAGGCGAGGCCGAAAGGCGUAGUCGAUGGACAACUGGUUGAUAUUCCAGUACUAGAUAUGAUCGUGAUGGAGGGACGCAGUAGGCUAAGAGAUGCCAGUUAAUGGAUUCUGGUCUAAGCAGUGAGGUGUGAGAUGUGUCAAAUGCAUUUCUCUUUAACAUUGAGCUGUGAUGGGGAAGCAACUACGGUUGCGAACUCUCUGAUGUCACACUGCCAAGAAAAGCUUCUAGNNNNNNNNNNNNCGCAGUGAAUAGGCCCAAGCAACUGUUUAUCAAAAACACAGCUCUCUGCUAAACCGCAAGGUGAUGUAUAGGGGGUGACGCCUGCCCGGUGCUGGAAGGUUAAGAGGAGUGCUUAGACGUAAGUCGAAGGUAUGAAUUGAAGCCCCAGUAAACGGCG